UACGUAGGGGGCAAGCGUUGUCCGGAUUCAUUGGGCGUAAAGAGCGUGUAGGCGGCCAGGUAGGUCGGUUGUGAAAACUGGAGGCUCAACCUUCAGAGGUCGACCGAAACCAUCUGGCUAGAGUCCGGGAGAGGAGAGUGGAAUUCCUGGUGUAGCGGUGAAAUGCGCAGAUAUCAGGAAGAACACCCGUGGCGAAAGCGGCUCUCUGGAACGGUACUGACGCUGAGGAGCGAAAGCAUGGGGAGCGAACAGG
Molecule: ribosomal RNA, 253 nt
Filed under: uncultured bacterium
Lineage: Bacteria
Description: partial 16S ribosomal RNA
Rfam family: Bacterial small subunit ribosomal RNA
Source: RNAcentral